GACGAACGCUGGCGGCGUGCUUAACACAUGCAAGUCGAACGGAAAGGCCCUGCUUUUGUGGGGUGCUCGAGUGGCGAACGGGUGAGUAACACGUGAGUAACCUGCCCUUGACUUUGGGAUAACUUCAGGAAACUGGGGCUAAUACCGGAUAGGAGCUCCUGCUGCAUGGGGGGGGUUGGAAAGUUUCGGCGGUUGGGGAUGGACUCGCGGCUUAUCAGCUUGUUGGUGGGGUAGUGGCUUACCAAGGCGUUGACGGGUAGCCGGCCUGAGAGGGUGACCGGCCACAUUGGGACUGAGAUACGGCCCAGACUCCUACGGGAGGCAGCAGUGGGGAAUAUUGCACAAUGGGCGGAAGCCUGAUGCAGCAACGCCGCGUGCGGGAUGACGGCCUUCGGGUUGUAAACCGCUUUCGCCUGUGACGAAGCGUGAGUGACGGUAAUGGGUAAAGAAGCACCGGCUAACUACGUG
Molecule: ribosomal RNA, 468 nt
Filed under: uncultured bacterium
Lineage: Bacteria
Description: partial 16S ribosomal RNA
Rfam family: Bacterial small subunit ribosomal RNA
Source: RNAcentral